Molecule: ribosomal RNA, 468 nt
Filed under: uncultured bacterium
Lineage: Bacteria
Description: partial 16S ribosomal RNA
Rfam family: Bacterial small subunit ribosomal RNA
Source: RNAcentral
GACGAACGCUGGCGGCGUGCUUAACACAUGCAAGUCGAACGGAAAGGCCCUGCUUUUGUGGGGUGCUCGAGUGGCGAACGGGUGAGUAACACGUGAGUAACCUGCCCUUGACUUUGGGAUAACUUCAGGAAACUGGGGCUAAUACCGGAUAGGAGCUCCUGCUGCAUGGUGGGGGUUGGAAAGUUUCGGCGGUUGGGGAUGGACUCGCGGCUUAUCAGCUUGUUGGUGGGGUAGUGGCUUACCAAGGCUUUGACGGGUAGCCGGCCUGAGAGGGUGACCGGCCACAUUGGGACUGAGAUACGGCCCAGACUCAUACGGGAGGAAGCAGUGGGGAAUAUUGCACAAUGGGCGGAAGCCUGAUGCAGCAACGCCGCGUGCGGGAUGACGGCCUUCGGGUUGUAAACCGCUUGCGCCUGUGACGAAGCGUGAGUGACGGUAAUGGGUAAAGAAGCACCGGCUAACUACGUG